Molecule: ribosomal RNA, 433 nt
Filed under: uncultured bacterium
Lineage: Bacteria
Description: partial 16S ribosomal RNA
Rfam family: Bacterial small subunit ribosomal RNA
Source: RNAcentral
AACGAACGCUGGCGGCAUGCCUAACACAUGCAAGUCGAACGAGACCUUCGGGUCUAGUGGCGCACGGGUGCGUAACGCGUGGGGACCUGCCCUUAGGUUCGGAAUAACUCCCCGGAAGGGGUGCUAAUACCGGAUAAUGUCUUCGGACCAAAGAUUUAUCGCCUUUGGAUGGGCCCGCGUUGGAUUAGCUAGUUGGUAGGGUAAAAGCCUACCAAGGCGACGAUCCAUAGCUGGUCUGAGAGGAUGAUCAGCCACACUGGGACUGAGACACGGCCCAGACUCCUACGGGAGGCAGCAGUGGGGAAUAUUGGACAAUGGGCGAAAGCCUGAUCCAGCAAUGCCGCGUGAGUGAUGAAGGCCUUAGGGUUGUAAAGCUCUUUUACCCGGGAUGAUAAUGACAGUACCGGGAGAAUAAGCUCCGGCUAACUCCGUG